AUCUAUGAUCCUACUAUCCUAAAUACUUUGCUCUCGAUCUCGUCUGAUCUUCAGAAGCUAAGCAGGGUUGGGCCUGGUUAGUACUUGGAUGGGAGACUUUGUUUAUGAUGUCUGGCAUAUAUUUU
Molecule: non-coding RNA, 125 nt
Organism: Canis lupus familiaris (dog)
Lineage: Eukaryota; Metazoa; Chordata; Mammalia; Carnivora; Canidae
Source: Rfam